Molecule: ribosomal RNA, 941 nt
Filed under: Microbacterium sp. HBUM178436
Lineage: Bacteria; Bacillati; Actinomycetota; Actinomycetes; Micrococcales; Microbacteriaceae
Description: bacterial SSU rRNA
Rfam family: Bacterial small subunit ribosomal RNA
Source: RNAcentral
UGUUGCGGGUGCUUACACAUGCAGUCGAACGAUGAAGCCGGAGCUUGCUCUGGUGGAUUAGUGGCGAACGGGUGAGUAACACGUGAGCAACCUGCCCUGGACUCUGGGAUAAGCGCUGGAAACGGCGUCUAAUACUGGAUACGAGACGUGGCCGCAUGGUCAACGUUUGGAAAGAUUUUUCGGUCUGGGAUGGGCUCGCGGCCUAUCAGCUUGUUGGUGAGGUAAUGGCUCACCAAGGCGUCGACGGGUAGCCGGCCUGAGAGGGUGACCGGCCACACUGGGACUGAGACACGGCCCAGACUCCUACGGGAGGCAGCAGUGGGGAAUAUUGCACAAUGGGCGGAAGCCUGAUGCAGCAACGCCGCGUGAGGGAUGACGGCCUUCGGGUUGUAAACCUCUUUUAGCAGGGAAGAAGCGAAAGUGACGGUACCUGCAGAAAAAGCGCCGGCUAACUACGUGCCAGCAGCCGCGGUAAUACGUAGGGCGCAAGCGUUAUCCGGAAUUAUUGGGCGUAAAGAGCUCGUAGGCGGUUUGUCGCGUCUGCUGUGAAAUCCCGAGGCUCAACCUCGGGCCUGCAGUGGGUACGGGCAGACUAGAGUGCGGUAGGGGAGAUUGGAAUUCCUGGUGUAGCGGUGGAAUGCGCAGAUAUCAGGAGGAACACCGAUGGCGAAGGCAGAUCUCUGGGCCGUAACUGACGCUGAGGAGCGAAAGGGUGGGGAGCAAACAGGCUUAGAUACCCUGGUAGUCCACCCCGUAAACGUUGGGAACUAGUUGUGGGGUCCUUUCCACGGAUUCCGUGACGCAGCUAACGCAUUAAGUUCCCCGCCUGGGGAGUACGGCCGCAAGGCUAAAACUCAAAGGAAUUGACGGGGACCCGCACAAGCGGCGGAGCAUGCGGAUUAAUUCGAUGCAACGCGAAGAACCUUACCAAGGCUUGACAU